UACGAAGGGUGCAAGCGUUACUCGGAAUUACUGGGCGUAAAGCGUGCGUAGGUGGUUCGUUAAGUCUGCCGUGAAAGCCCCGGGCUCAACCUGGGAAUGGCGGUGGAUACUGGCGGACUAGAGUGCGGUAGAGGGUGGUGGAAUUCCCGGUGUAGCAGUGAAAUGCGUAGAGAUCGGGAGGAACAUCUGUGGCGAAGGCGGCCACCUGGACCAGCACUGACACUGAGGCACGAAAGCGUGGGGAGCAAACAGGAUUAGAAACCCCCGUAGUCC
Molecule: ribosomal RNA, 273 nt
Filed under: uncultured bacterium
Lineage: Bacteria
Description: partial 16S ribosomal RNA
Rfam family: Bacterial small subunit ribosomal RNA
Source: RNAcentral